Long non-coding RNA from Girardinichthys multiradiatus, 466 nucleotides. RefSeq lists it as uncharacterized. NCBI's taxonomy places the organism in Eukaryota, Metazoa, Chordata, Actinopteri, Cyprinodontiformes, Goodeidae. The transcript is spliced from 4 exons. The record is from RefSeq and is a predicted model, not a curated record.
AAUCAGAAUGAAAUGUAACAGAGCUACUCGAACCUGAUGCCAUCUUGAGCAGCGCAAUUCUAGAAACAUAUAGGACGUACAGGACCCUGAACCUAAGGGCAUUGUGUAGGAAUCCGCAGAAGACGUUGAUGUCUACAAGAUGUUUAAUGACAGGAUGAAAGCCCCAAAGGAUGCGAACUGUCUCUGCAGAGAGCACCACUCUGUUGUGGUUUGGUUUCGCCAAGGUCAAUGUGCAGUGGACCCACUCCAGGGUGAAGGUCUUCCCGGGUGGCUGCUUCAGCCAUUUUGGUAACAAGUUGAUAUUAUAGCUGAAUAGUGAGUCCCGUCCUUCUGCUCCCUCUUGUAUACCGAGGACGUCUUUUUCAAGCACAUUUUCCACUUCAUCAAUGCAAGCGACAUGGGCUACCUCUUGCUGGGUUAGGUCUUAGACUGCUCCCUCUCCUGGAUCAGCUUAGGCCCCCCAUCA